This 953-nucleotide long non-coding RNA is filed under the name Zostera marina. Its description in RNAcentral is "long non-coding RNA (ZMAR_LNC001535)". The stretch from base 554 to 853 matches the Rfam family "Plant signal recognition particle RNA". The record is from RNAcentral. Lineage: Eukaryota; Viridiplantae; Streptophyta; Magnoliopsida; Alismatales; Zosteraceae.
UAACAUGGGCUUGUCACCAAGUGGAGCAUUAAGGUAUUUGAAUAAUUUGGUAUUGAAUUCAAGGUUGAUAUUAUGAGCUAGCUUUGAUUUGCCCGUUUCCAAGUUGGGCAGUGGAUGCUACGUUUCAGGCUAACGCUUGAAUCAUAUUCUCCCUAAACUUGAGGGUAAUGCGUGAGGCUGGUUUCACAGAGCAGCGAUUACCUCUCACUCUCAACGGUGGAAGGAUUACAACUCAUUUGCUCAUAUUGUCAAUUAGCCUUGGAAUCCACCAAAUUCAACAAAUAUUUUUUAUUUUGUAAAUAGAAUCCAUAUUCUUUGUUUAUUUUUCAAUUCUACAAUAUAAAUAGCAAAUAUACGAAAAAAUACUAUUCAGUCAAAUUAAUAUGACCCUAAAAUAGGAAACUUGGUUUCUCUGACCAUUUCACCCCAUCUGAAGAUUUUUUUUUUAAAACUAAUAUAACAAAAUAAUACUAUAAGAAAUAAGAAAUAAUCCCACAUCGAAGAAAUUGAAAAAAGCUUUGUUGUUUAUAUACAAGAAAUCUAUAAAUCAAUCGCUGAGCUCGGUAACAUGGGCUUGUCACCAAGUGGAGCAUUAAGGUAUUUGAAUAAUUUGGUAUUGAAUUCAAGGUUGAUAUUAUGAGCUAGCUUUGAUUUGCCCGUUUCCAAGUUGGGCGGUGGAUGCUACGUUUCAGGCUAACGCUUGAAUCAUAUUCUCCCUAAACUUGAGGGUAAUGCGUGAGGCUGGUUUCACAGAGCAGCGAUUACCUCUUACUCUCAACGGUGGAAGGAUUACAAGUCAUUUGCUCAUAUUGUCAAUUACACUUGGAAUCCACCAAAUUCAACAAAUAUUUUUUAUUUUGUAAAUAGAAUCCAUAUUCUUUGUUUAUUUUUCAAUUCUACAAUUUAAAUAGCAAAUAUACGAAAAAAUACUAUUCAGUCAAAUUAAUAUGACC